GGAAUCGUAACUUAAAGGUAAAGUGUUUGCUUGAUAAGCAAAAAAUAAUGGUUCAAUUCUAUUCGAUUUCA
This 71-nucleotide transfer RNA is filed under the name Coemansia sp. 'formosensis'. RNAcentral's name for it is "tRNA-Ile". It matches the Rfam family "tRNA". Rfam says of the family: Transfer RNA (tRNA) molecules are approximately 80 nucleotides in length. Lineage: Eukaryota; Fungi; Kickxellomycota; Kickxellomycetes; Kickxellales; Kickxellaceae. The record is from RNAcentral. RNAcentral also lists the same sequence under 36 other names.